Molecule: long non-coding RNA, 1917 nt
Organism: Andrographis paniculata
Lineage: Eukaryota; Viridiplantae; Streptophyta; Magnoliopsida; Lamiales; Acanthaceae
Exons: 5
Source: RefSeq, a predicted model, not a curated record
UCAUUUCCUGCCAAUGACAAGUACUCCAACCAGAACAAGUUUCCAUAACUUGCUGGGAUUCUCCCGAAGAAGAAGUUUCCUCCCAAUUCCAUGUGCCUGAGUUUCUUCAGACUCAACACGCCAAUGGGAAGAGAGCUCAGGUUCUCGAUCAUGAUGUCACCAGUGAAGUUGUUCCCAUCAAUGGAAAGCUCCACCAGUUUGUCGAGCCUUGAAAUUUGAGGUGAAAUGGUGCCAUACAGAUUCAUGCUUGAUAUGUUGAGGGAGACUACUCGGCCACGGAAGCAUCUGAUUCCACUCCACGAGCAGACUGAGGCCGGGCCUUUGGAAGAAUUCCAUGUGUCUGUAGCUGGGUUUGAGUAUUGGAAUCCUUCUUUCAGAGCCAUCAAUGCAUGGAAAUCUGAAAGGAUGGUGGAAGAAACACAAGUGAUAGUGAAGAAGAAGAAGAGUACUGUCGUUGCUGAAAUAAUGAAGGGAACCAUAUUCUAGUAGAAACUUUUCAUGGGAAGCAAUGACUUUGGAAUGGCUUGAAGAAUGAAUACUCUGAUGAUUUUAAGAGGGACAACGACGAAUUCUCCUGUAAAAGGGAGUAAAAGCAGAGAUGAACUGAAGAAGUAAUUCAAGUUUGUAUAGGAGGGUUAAAGCACCAAUCAUCUUGUAGAAAGCUAAACAUAAUUAGACUUCAAGGAAGAAGAGGUUAUCAGGAUCUUAAGCAAAGUAGCAGAUACAAAGAAAGGAAGUUUUACAAGGGCGGGAGGACACACUAUAAACAGCACUUUUUUGUGGAUAAAAAAGCAUCCGUUGGAUUGCUAAAUUUGAAGUUGAGAAUGUGCACAACACUGGGGAAAAAAAUAGGAAAAUCAUUGGACCUUCCUAGUGAAUGGGUUGUUGCUUGGCUAAGAACCCUUAUCAAAAAAGAUUCUUGGAAAGUGAAGAGAGAGAUUAUACUAUCACAGAAAGAUGCAAGUAUAUACACACAUAAAUAAGGUACGAAAUCCCUCAAUCUCAGUGCUGCAUGCCUGCAUAAGAUACCUACGUGCAUCAAUAAUAAUAAUAAUAAUAAUAAUAAUAACGUGGAAGAAUCUAGUAUUUAAGGACACAAAAUGCUGUACUUUGAUGCACAAAUACACCAUCAAAGUUCAGAACCAAAGAAAGAAAAAGUAAAGAGACAUCAGAGAGGUGCCAGUAAAAGAAGAUGAUUAUUAUUAAAUGAUGACAUUGUUUUUUGUUUCUCUGGUCAAGAGUGAUGAUCGAUAUAUAAUUAUGUAGCAUGGAUAGGUUGCAUGGAAGAAUCAACCACUGAAGCUUUUUUCUUUCUUGCUUGCUUGCUUGCUGCUUUAUUCAUCAUUGAUUGAUUUAUUUAUAUAUUAGAGUCUCUCUCUCUCUCUCUCUCUCUCUCUCUCUCUCUCUCUCUCUCUCUCUCUCUCUCUCUCUCUCUCUCUCUCUCUCCUGCCUGGCUUGUCCUGCAGUAAUGGGACCAAAUACUCACAUAUAGUUAUAGUAUUGUGAUACUUGAGCUUUAUUAGAAUAUGGAAUAGUCAGUCCUAAAGAGAGUGCUGAAAAAAGCAAAAGUAGAAAUGAAUGAGGGAGGGAGGGAGGUGGAUUUGCUUUUGAUCUUCCACUAGAGAAAGAAAACAAAGGAAAAGACACAGAAAUCCACUAGCUUUCUUUCACAUGGAAAAGAGUGCUCUUGUUUUUAACUUAAAUAUCCAAGAAAGAUUAGUCAUUCUUAUUUUUUAUUGAAAACAAGAUAAUUUUAUGACCAUCCUAUGCGUGGAAAACUGUGCACUCUCUUUUCUAUUAAGAAUAGUCAUUUCCACCCAACCACUAGGGCUGGAAUGGGCUCUGUCGGGUCGGGUUGAAUUGUUAAACAGGUUCAGUUGGGUCAAUUCAAAAUCGAUCUCUUUAUUUAAAUGGGUA